This 160-nucleotide ribosomal RNA is filed under the name Amanita spreta. RNAcentral's name for it is "partial 28S ribosomal RNA". It matches the Rfam family "Eukaryotic large subunit ribosomal RNA", at positions 1 to 157 of the family's 3401-position model. Lineage: Eukaryota; Fungi; Basidiomycota; Agaricomycetes; Agaricales; Amanitaceae. The record is from RNAcentral.
UUGACCUCAAAUCAGGUAGGACUACCCGCUGAACUUAAGCAUAUCAAUAAGCGGAGGAAAAGAAACUAACAAGGAUUCCCCUAGUAACUGCGAGUGAAGCGGGAAAAGCUCAAAUUUAAAAUCUGGCAGUCUUUGGCUGUCCGAGUUGUAAUCUAGAGAA